AAGAACUUAAGUUAUAUAUAAACUAUUAACCUUCAAAGUUGAAAUUAAUAAAUUUAGAUCUUA
RNAcentral lists this transfer RNA (63 nucleotides) under Aposthonia borneensis. RNAcentral's name for it is "tRNA-Trp". The record is from RNAcentral. Lineage: Eukaryota; Metazoa; Arthropoda; Insecta; Embioptera; Oligotomidae.